Molecule: ribosomal RNA, 253 nt
Filed under: uncultured bacterium
Lineage: Bacteria
Description: partial 16S ribosomal RNA
Rfam family: Bacterial small subunit ribosomal RNA
Source: RNAcentral
UACGUAGGGCGCAAGCGUUGUCCGGAAUUAUUGGGCGUAAAGAGCUCGUAGGCGGUCUGUCGCGUCCGUUGUGAAAACUCGAGGCUCAACCUCGGGCUUGCAGUGGAUACGGGCAGACUAGAGUGCGGUAGGGGAGACUGGAAUUCCUGGUGUAGCGGUGAAAUGCGCAGAUAUCAGGAGGAACACCGGUGGCGAAGGCGGGUCUCUGGGCCGUAACUGACGCUGAGGAGCGAAAGCAUGGGGAGCGAACAGG